GAGGUCAGUCAUGUCUCCAAGUUCUCCUGGAGUAGUUUCUACUAUUUAAUAAGCAGGCCUAGGAAAGACUAUCCACCAUUACUGCGAUUUGUUGUCUGAAACAGUGAAUGAAGAUGGCAUCUCCCGCCUGUAUGAAGCUUUUCAAGAAGUGCCUUUGAAAUCUGACAGGACCAGAAGGUACAUCCUCAAUAGACAUUACAAAUGGUUGCAGAAACUUGGAAAUCUCGUGUCAGGUUCUGCAUUCGACUAGGGAACCAGGACCAACACAGAAGACCUCUUCAUCCUGCUAUGGUCCUUUUCUGCAGAACUGCUGCCUAGCCACUCAACAGGUGCACUUCUGAACUGUGGGUCUGCACUGACCAGGGACAACAACUAUGAGGUGGGAUGUUAAGGGUGGGGUAUACUACAGGAACUUUGGAGUUGGACUCAAGAA
Mauremys reevesii (Reeves's turtle) is the source of this 433-nucleotide long non-coding RNA. RefSeq lists it as uncharacterized. The record is from RefSeq and is a predicted model, not a curated record. Lineage: Eukaryota; Metazoa; Chordata; Testudines; Geoemydidae. The transcript is spliced from 4 exons.